GAUGAACGCUGGCGGCGUGCCUAAUACAUGCAAGUCGAGCGAACGAACGAGAAGCUUGCUUCUCUGAUGUUAGCGGCGGACGGGUGAGUAACACGUGGAUAACCUACCUAUAAGACUGGGAUAACUUCGGGAAACCGGAGCUAAUACCGGAUAAUAUUUUGAACCGCAUGGUUCAAAAGUGAAAGACGGUCUUGCUGUCACUUAUAGAUGGAUCCGCGCUGCAUUAGCUAGUUGGUAAGGUAACGGCUUACCAAGGCAACGAUGCAUAGCCGACCUGAGAGGGUGAUCGGCCACACUGGAACUGAGACACGGUCCAGACUCCUACGGGAGGCAGCAGUAGGGAAUCUUACGCAAUGGGCGAAAGCCUGACGGAGCAACGCCGCGUGAGUGAUGAAGGUCUUCGGAUCGUAAAACUCUGUUAUUAGGGAAGAACAUAUGUGUAAGUAACUGUGCACAUCUUGACGGUACCUAAUCAGAAAGCCACGGCUAACUACGUG
This 497-nucleotide ribosomal RNA is filed under the name uncultured bacterium. RNAcentral's name for it is "partial 16S ribosomal RNA". It matches the Rfam family "Bacterial small subunit ribosomal RNA", at positions 28 to 507 of the family's 1533-position model. The record is from RNAcentral.